Long non-coding RNA from Mauremys reevesii (Reeves's turtle), 648 nucleotides. RefSeq lists it as uncharacterized. NCBI's taxonomy places the organism in Eukaryota, Metazoa, Chordata, Testudines, Geoemydidae. The record is from RefSeq and is a predicted model, not a curated record. The transcript has 3 exons.
CAUCUGUCAGCAAAGCCCUGAUGGGUCCAGAGGAAACUCAGAACAGGGGCAAAUGAAAAUACUCCCCUGAGGCAAAAGUGUGGAGUCUGCUUUCAUGAUGGAAGGGCAAUAAGAAAGCAUGUGAUGCUAUUCUCAGUCUCCUGGUAUACUGGGCCCUGCUGAAGCACAGCGAAUCUCCCAAAUGUGGCCUUCAGGAACAUCCCACACACACCAACCAAGCGUCUCCGCCAGAUCAGAAAGUGCCCAAGACACAGCAAAGAAGACAUGUUCUGGGAGGUCCUGCAGUGCUCCAAUGCAGAGAAAGGGGAACGAAAGGAGUGCUGGGAAGCCAAAUGGCAGGACAGAAAAGAGAAUUAUGUGUUUUAUAAGGAUUCUACUGAGCGGAUGAUUAAAGUAAUGGAGGAGCAAAUGCAGAUGCUGAAGUCCUUAAUAAUGCUGCAGACUGAGCAGAUCAGUGAUCGGCUUCCACUGCAGCACAUUCAGAACUCUUUUCCAUGCCCCCACCCCAAACUCCACCUGCACAUUCCUUUCCACCAUCCGGGACUUCUCAGUUUCCCCUUCACUCCACCCCCUCAGAGAACUUUCACAAUGAUAGCUGGACCUACACACAGCUGUGAAAGACUGCCCUUCCCUGGUUCCUCUUUUCCC